CACCGCUCGCGAUAGGCGUCGAUCAGGGCUAGGGUUUCUUCUUGGGUCCAACACGGCGGUGGAAAUCUCCUCACCGGAGGUAGAGGCUUCUCCUCCUCCACCGCCGGCGGGGAUGUUUCUGCGACGGUGACAUCAAGGUUAGACGACAUCGUAUUAUGGUGUUGUCUUGUUUUUAGAAAAUUGAGUGGUGUUUUUUUAAGUGAUUGAAUUUAGAUGGGAAGUUGAGAUAUAAAUGGGG
This 238-nucleotide long non-coding RNA is filed under the name Nicotiana benthamiana. RNAcentral's name for it is "long non-coding RNA (NBEN_LNC001044)". The record is from RNAcentral. Lineage: Eukaryota; Viridiplantae; Streptophyta; Magnoliopsida; Solanales; Solanaceae.